CCUACGGGAGGCAGCAGUGAGGAAUAUUGGUCAAUGGACGAGAGUCUGAACCAGCCAAGUAGCGUGAAGGAUGACUGCCCUAUGGGUUGUAAACUUCUUUUAUAUGGGAAUAAAACGUUCCACGUGUGGCUUUUUGUAUGUACUAUAUGAAUAAGGAUCGGCUAACUCCGUGCCAGCAGCCGCGGUAAUACGGAGGAUCCGAGCGUUAUCCGGAUUUAUUGGGUUUAAAGGGUGCGUAGACGGGUCGUAAAGUCAGCGGUAAAAGUCCGGGGCUAAACCUCAGAGAUCAGUUGAAACUGGCGUACUUGAGUACGCGAGAGGUAGGCGGAAUGCGUGGUGUAGCGGUGAAAUGCAUAGAUAUCGCGAAGAACUCCGAUUGCGAAGGCAGCGUACUGGCGCGUGACUGACGCUGAGGCACGAAAGCGUGGGUAUCGAACAGGAUUAGAUACCCGGGUAGUC
Molecule: ribosomal RNA, 459 nt
Filed under: uncultured bacterium
Lineage: Bacteria
Description: partial 16S ribosomal RNA
Rfam family: Bacterial small subunit ribosomal RNA
Source: RNAcentral